Molecule: ribosomal RNA, 1379 nt
Filed under: uncultured bacterium
Lineage: Bacteria
Description: partial 16S ribosomal RNA
Rfam family: Bacterial small subunit ribosomal RNA
Source: RNAcentral
AGAGUUUGAUCCUGGCUCAGGAUGAACGCUGGCGGCGUGCUUAACACAUGCAAGUCGAGCGAAGCGUAUUAGCGGAAGUUUUCGGAUGGAAGCGGAUAUGACUUAGCGGCGGACGGGUGAGUAACGCGUGGAUAACCUGCCUCAUACAAGGGGAUAACAGUUAGAAAUGACUGCUAAUACCGCAUAAGCGCACAGGACCGCAUGGUCCGGUGUGAAAAACUCCGGUGGUAUGGGAUGGAUCCGCGUCUGAUUAGCUGGUUGGUGAGGUAACGGCCCACCAAGGCGACGAUCAGUAGCCGACCUGAGAGGGUGGCCGGCCACAUUGGGACUGAGACACGGCCCAAACUCCUACGGGAGGCAGCAGUGGGGAAUAUUGCACAAUGGGGGAAACCCUGAUGCAGCAACGCCGCGUGAGUGAAGAAGUAUUUCGGUAUGUAAAGCUCUAUCAGCAGGGAAGAAGAAAGACGGUACCUGACUAAGAAGCCCCGGCUAACUACGUGCCAGCAGCCGCGGUAAUACGUAGGGGGCAAGCGUUAUCCGGAUUUACUGGGUGUAAAGGGAGCGUAGACGGCUGUGCAAGUCUGAAGUGAAAGCCCGUGGCUCAACCGCGGAACUGCUUUGGAAACUGUAUAGCUUGAGUACUGGAGAGGCAGGCGGAAUUCCUAGUGUAGCGGUGAAAUGCGUAGAUAUUAGGAGGAACACCAGUGGCGAAGGCGGCCUGCUGGACAGAAACUGACGUUGAGGCUCGAAAGCGUGGGGAGCAAACAGGAUUAGAUACCCUGGUAGUCCACGCGGUAAACGAUGAAUGCUAGGUGUUGGGGAGCAAAGCUCUUCGGUGCGGUUGUCAAACGCAGUAAGCAUUCCACCUGGGGAGUACGUUCGCAAGAAUGAAACUCAAAGGAAAGAUCGGGGACCCGCACAAGCGGUGGAGCAUGUGGUAUAAUUGGAAGAUACGAGAAGAACCUUACCAAGUCUUGACAUCUUGCGCUAACCUUAGAGAUAAGGCGUUCCCUUCGGGGACGCAAUGACAGGUGGUGCAUGGUCGUCGUCAGCUCGUGUCGUGAGAUGUUGGGUUAAGUCCCGCAACGAGCGCAACCCUUGUUACUAGUUGCCAGCAUUAAGUUGGGCACUCUAGUGAGACUGCCGGUGACAAACCGGAGGAAGGUGGGGACGACGUCAGAUCAUCAUGCCCCUUAUGACCUGGGCUACACACGUGCUACAAUGGACGGUACAACGAGUCGCAAGCUCGCGAGAGUAAGCUAAUCUCUUAAAGCCGUUCUCAGAUCGGACUGUAGGCUGCAACUCGCCUGCACGAAGCUGGAAUCGCUAGUAAUCGCGGAUCAGAACGCCGCGCUGAAAGGGUUCCCGGGUCUUGCACA